Molecule: ribosomal RNA, 809 nt
Filed under: uncultured Pelagibacteraceae bacterium
Lineage: Bacteria; Pseudomonadati; Pseudomonadota; Alphaproteobacteria; Candidatus Pelagibacterales; Candidatus Pelagibacteraceae
Description: bacterial SSU rRNA
Rfam family: Bacterial small subunit ribosomal RNA
Source: RNAcentral
CGCUGGCGGCACGCCUUAUACAUGCAAGUCGAACGCAGUAGCAAUACUGAGUGGCAAACGGGUGAGUAUAAUGUGGGUAUCUGCCUUUUGGUUUGGAAUAACAUGAGGAAACUUGUGCUAAUACCGGAUAAGCCUUCACAGGGAAAGUUUUAUACGCCGAAAGAUGAGCCCGCACUUGAUUAGUUUGUUGGUGAGGUAAUGGCUCACCAAGACAAUUAUCAAUAGCUGGUCUGAGAGGACGAUCAGCCACAUUGGGACUGAGACACGGCCCAGACUCCUACGGGAGGCAGCAGUAAGGAAUCUUGCACAAUGGGGGAAACCCUGAUGCAGCGAUGCCGCGUGAGUGAAGAAGGCCCUUGGGUUGUAAAACUCUUUCGUCGGGGAAGAAAAUGACUGUACCCGAAUAAGAAGGUCCGGCUAACUUCGUGCCAGCAGCCGCGGUAAUACGAAGGGACCUAGCGUAGUUCGGAAUUACUGGGCUUAAAGAGCUCGUAGGUGGUUAAAAAAGUUGAUGGUGAAAUCCCAAGGCUCAACCUUGGAACUGCCAUCAAAACUUUUUAGCUAGAGUGUGAUAGAGGAAAGUGGAAUUUCUAGUGUAGAGGUGAAAUUCGUAGAUAUUAGAAAGAACACCAAAUGCGAAGGCAACUUUCUGGGUCACUACUGACACUGAGGAGCGAAAGCAUGGGUAGCGAAGAGGAUUAGAUACCCUCGUAGUCCAUGCCGUAAACGAUGUGUGCUAGACGUUGGAAAUAUAUUUUUCAGUGUCGCAGCGAAAGCAUUAAGCACACCGCCUGGGGAGUACGACCGCA